Long non-coding RNA from Raphanus sativus (radish), 758 nucleotides. RefSeq lists it as uncharacterized. Lineage: Eukaryota; Viridiplantae; Streptophyta; Magnoliopsida; Brassicales; Brassicaceae. The record is from RefSeq and is a predicted model, not a curated record. The transcript is spliced from 5 exons.
UCUUUUUUAAUUUUACAAAUUUAUUAUGUUUCCUUUAAUCAAACGUCAUUUAAUUUACAUACCUUAUUAUAACCAAUUACUUGCGCAAGUCUCGCAAGUAAUAUUAUUUGCGUCGUUAAUACUCUUCACCAUCAAAGGACUAUAUAUAGAGUACAAAGUGGCGAUGAAGCAACACAACCAUUCUUCUAUUUUUAUAUAUACAUAUUUCAUCAUAGCUGACUUUUCUUUUGGUUUAUAUGCAGAUGCCCUAUUCUAACGAUUUCACCACGAUGCAGCGAAGAAUAUGACACAAAAGCUGAUGUUUUCUCCUUUGCUUUGAUCGUUCAAGAGAUAAAUGAUAGAAGGACGAAUGCCAUUUGCUGAAAAGGAAGACAGUGAAGCUUCAGAAGCUUAUGCCAGCAAAGAGCGGCCACUGUUCAAAGCUCCAUCAAAUAGCUUUACCCUCAUGGACUUAAAACACGUCUGUGGAAGCAGUACUCUGGUGUUAUAGGAGGACAAUUUAAAUGGUGAUAUAUAGUUGAUCAAAAGGAGAUAAUGAUCCAUGGUACCGUGAAGAAGGAACACCAAGAUGACUUUAUAAGUUUGGAAGCAACUGCGUUGGCUGGAAAUAAUCUUCAUUAGUUGAUGGAUGCAUUGAGGAAAUUUUCUUUUGGGUAAACUACACACAGCGGCAAGAAGGAGUAGAAUCUUUUUUUUUUGGUCAAGAGGGAGUAGAAUCUAUUAUUAUUAUAUACAUGGGUGGAAGGAUUAAACUGAUC